RNAcentral lists this long non-coding RNA (1389 nucleotides) under Gallus gallus (chicken). Its description in RNAcentral is "lncRNA (ENSGALG00010000538.1)". The record is from RNAcentral. Lineage: Eukaryota; Metazoa; Chordata; Aves; Galliformes; Phasianidae.
CCCAUUUAACCAGAAAAUCACGCGUUUUCUUUUCGGAAAUCCCCCAUUUAAGCGAAAAUCACGUGUUUUCUCUCCGAGAAUCCAACACUUAAGCGAAAAUCACGCGUUUUCUCAAAUCCCACAUUUAAGCGAAAGUCACGCGUUUUCUCUUCGCAAAUCCCCCAUUUAACCAGAAAACCAAGCAUUUUCUCUUCGCAAAUCCCCCAUUUUACCAGAAAAACACGCGUUUUCUCUUCGAAAAUCCCCCAUUUAACCCGAAAAUCACGCGUUUUCCCUUCGCAAAUCCCCCAAUUAACACAAAAAACCACGAGUUUUCUCUUCAGAAAUCCCACAUUUAAGCGAAAAUCACACGUUUUCCCUUCGCAAAACCCCCAUUUAAGUGAAAAUCUCGCGUUUUCUCUUUGAGAAUCGUCAAUUUAAGUGAAAAUCAAGCGUUUUCUCUUUGAGAAUCCCCCAUUUAAGUGAAGAUCACGAAUUUUCUCUUCUCAAAUACCCCAUUUAAGCGAAAAUCACGCGUUUUCUCUUCGGAAAUCCCCCAUUUAACUUGAAAAUCACGCGUUUUCUCUUCGGAAAUCCCCCAUUUAAGCGAAAAUCACGCGUUUUCUCUUCGAGAAUCCAACAUUUAAGCGAAAAUCAUGUGUUUUCUCAAAUCCCCCAUUUAAGCGAAAAUCACGCGUUUUCUCUUCGCAAAUCCCCCAUUAACACAAAAAACCAUGAGUUUUCUCUUCAGAAAUCCCCCAUUUAAGCGAAAAUCACACGUUUUCCCUUCGCAAAACCCCCAUUUAACCGAAAAUCACGCGUUUUCUCUUCGCAAAUCCCCCAAUUAACACAAAAAAACACGAGUUUUCUCUUCAGAAAUCCCACAUUUAAGCGAAAAUCACACGUUUUCCCUUCGCAAAACCCCCAUUUAAGUGAAAAUCUCAGCGUUUUCUCUUUGAGAAUCGUCAAUUUAAGUGAAAAUCAAGCGUUUUCUCUUUGCGAAUCCCCCAUUUAAGUGAAGAUCACGAAUUUUCUCUUCUCAAAUACCCCAUUUAAGCGAAAAUCACGCGUUUUCUCUUCGCGAAUCCCCCAUUUAACUUGAAAAUCACGCGUUUUCUCUUCGGAAAUCCCCCAUUUAACCAGAAAAUCACGCGUUUUCACUUCGAGAAUCCAACAUUUAAGUGAAAAUCAUGUGUUUUCUCAAAUCCCCCAUUUAAGCGAAAAUCACUCGUUUUCUCUUCGCAAAUCCCGCAAUUAACACAAAAAACCAUGAGUUUUCUCUUCGAAAAUCCCCCAUUUAACCCGAUAAUCGCACAUUUUCAAUUUGCAAGUCCCCCAUUUAAGCGAAAAACACGCGUUUUCUCUUCGCAAAUCCCCCAUUUAACCAGAAAAUCACGCGUUUUCUUUUCG